CCUACGGGGGGCAGCAGUGAGGAAUAUUGGUCAAUGGGCGAGAGCCUGAACCAGCCAAGUAGCGUGCAGGAUGACGGCCCUAUGGGUUGUAAACUGCUUUUAUAAGGGAAUAAAGUGAGUCUCGUGAGACUUUUUGCAUGUACCUUAUGAAUAAGGACCGGCUAAUUCCGUGCCAGCAGCCGCGGUAAUACGGAAGGUCCGGGCGUUAUCCGGAUUUAUUGGGUUUAAAGGGAGCGUAGGCCGGAGAUUAAGCGUGUUGUGAAAUGUAGACGCUCAACGUCUGCACUGCAGCGCGAACUGGUUUCCUUGAGUACGCACAAAGUGGGCGGAAUUCGUGGUGUAGCGGUGAAAUGCUUAGAUAUCACGAAGAACUCCGAUUGCGAAGGCAGCUCACUGGAGCGCAACUGACGCUGAAGCUCGAAAGUGCGGGUAUCGAACAGGAUUAGAUACCCUGGUAGUC
RNAcentral lists this ribosomal RNA (460 nucleotides) under Chryseobacterium viscerum. RNAcentral's name for it is "bacterial SSU rRNA". It matches the Rfam family "Bacterial small subunit ribosomal RNA", at positions 338 to 795 of the family's 1533-position model. The record is from RNAcentral. Lineage: Bacteria; Pseudomonadati; Bacteroidota; Flavobacteriia; Flavobacteriales; Weeksellaceae.